GAUGUGAAAGCCCGGGGCUUAACCCCGGGUCUGCAUUCGAUACGGGCUAGCUAGAGUGUGGUAGGGGAGAUCGGAAUUCCUGGUGUAGCGGUGAAAUGCGCAGAUAUCAGGAGGAACACCGGUGGCGAAGGCGGAUCUCUGGGCCAUUACUGACGCUGAGGAGCGAAAGCGUGGGGAGCGAACAGGAUUAGAUACCCUGGUAGUCCACGCCGUAAACGUUGGGAACUAGGUGUUGGCGACAUUCCACGUCGUCGGUGCCGCAGCUAACGCAUUAAGUUCCCCGCCUGG
RNAcentral lists this ribosomal RNA (288 nucleotides) under bacterium. RNAcentral describes it as "partial 16S ribosomal RNA". It matches the Rfam family "Bacterial small subunit ribosomal RNA", at positions 591 to 876 of the family's 1533-position model. The record is from RNAcentral.